RNAcentral lists this ribosomal RNA (863 nucleotides) under uncultured Methanoculleus sp. RNAcentral describes it as "bacterial SSU rRNA". It matches the Rfam family "Archaeal small subunit ribosomal RNA", at positions 1 to 873 of the family's 1478-position model. Lineage: Archaea; Methanobacteriati; Methanobacteriota; Methanomicrobia; Methanomicrobiales; Methanomicrobiaceae. The record is from RNAcentral.
UCCCGGUUGAUCCUGCCAGGGGUCACUGCUAUCGGGGUUCGAUUAAGCCAUGCGAGUCGAGAGGGUUCGGCCCUCGGCGUACUACUCAGUAACACGUGGAUAACCUGCCCUAAGGAAGGGGAUAACCUCGGGAAACUGAGGAUAAUACCCUAUAGGUUACAGACGCUGGAAUGCCCUGUAACCGAAAGCUCCGGCGCCUUAGGAUGGAUCUGCGGCCGAUUAGGUUGUUGUUGGGGUAACGGCCCAACAAGCCGAUAAUCGGUACGGGUUGUGGGAGCAAGAGCCCGGAGUUGGAUUCUGAGACACGAAUCCAGGCCCUACGGGGCGCAGCAGACGCGAAAACUUUACAAUGCGGGAAACCGUGAUAAGGGAACCUCGAGUGCCUGUAUAUGCAGGCUGUCCAGGUGUCUAAAAAACACCUGAAGAAAGGGCCGGGCAAGACCGGUCCCAGCCGCCGCGGUAAUACCGGCGGCUCGAGUGGUGGCCACUUUUAUUGGGCUAAAGCGUUCGUAGCUGGGUUGUUAAGUCUCUUGGGAAGUCUGACGGCUCAACCGUCAGGCGUCCAAGGGAUACUGGCAAUCUUGGAACCGGGAGAGGUGAGGGGUACUUCGGGGGGUAGGAGUGAAAUCCUGUAAUCCUCGAGGGACCACCUGUGGCGAAGGCGCCUCACCAGAACGGCUUCGACAGUGAGGGACGAAAGCUGGGGGAGCAAACCGGAUUAGAUACCCGGGUAGUCCCAGCCCUAAACGAUGCGCGUUAGGUGUAUCGGUGACCACGAGUCACCGAGGUGCCGAAGGGAAACCGUGAUACGUGCCGCCUGGGAAGUACGGUCGCAAGGCUGAAACUUAAAGGAAUUGGCGGGA